Long non-coding RNA from Anarrhichthys ocellatus (wolf-eel), 1172 nucleotides. RefSeq lists it as uncharacterized. The record is from RefSeq and is a predicted model, not a curated record. The transcript has 2 exons. NCBI's taxonomy places the organism in Eukaryota, Metazoa, Chordata, Actinopteri, Perciformes, Anarhichadidae.
AGUUGCAUCCGGACCCAGGACCUAAAACCGAUAGAUAAUUGAGAUUUAUUUGCAUCAGUCGGUGAAUUUAAACUUUAACCGGCGCAGGUUAUUCAGCCGUUUGCAGUAACUUCAAACAGAAGCUCAGUAGAACCGUUCAGUAACCCGUCCAUGUGUAGGUUAGACUAUUAAGUAACUACCGCCUAUUGAAACCAUUGAAAGCAGUCGAUAUGGACCUCUAGCUGUGUGUUGUUUAGGUGACCUGCUGUGUCGGUGACGGUGGUGAUGGGAGGAGAUCAGAGCCAUGAGAGGACGUCUGAGGAGGAAGAAGAGGAGCCUGAAGAACAUCAAGAAGCUGCUUCUGCUGGAGACACAGCUGGAGAGCUGCCCCAGUGCCAGCUGGGAAACAGGAAGGUGGACAACAUGUGUUUCAUGAUCGCGUGCACCAACUGGUACUAAACUGGUCCUGGUUCCACGUGUUAGUGAAACAGAGGAUUUGAGAUGUUUCUCCUGGGCUAGCUGUUUCCCCCUAUUUCCAGUCUUUAUGCUAAGCUAAGCUAAGCGUACAGACGAGAAUUGUUUUAAUCAUCUCAUCCAACUCUUGGAAAGAAAGCAAAUAAGUGCAUUUCACAAAAAGUCAAACGUUGUGAUGACUUCUGUUCUGAGAGAGAAACUGAAGAGUUUUGCUCAUUUCUGCAGACGCUGACUCAGUGAAAUAAAUAACUCGUUCUGGGAAUAAUGUGGACAAUAAAUCUGUUUUGGGAGUCAGACCCUCUGAUGUGUCAAUGAAUGAAUUAAACUGAGCAGGUAAAUGCACGUAAAGGUAAAAGUCAGGAACGGAGAUGAGAUAAAGCUUCACUGUUUAUAAGAAACAGAGUGUUCCAGAACUUGUGCAUAACUGCUGAAGUAGUGCAUCCUCUGCCCUUGCUAAUGAAGUUAUACACAUAAAGUACAAAGUAUGAAGUACAGUUGAUACCUCUACUGACAUGAGGAGAGAUAUCAACAUCAAGUAGAGUUGGAGGUCAGAGAAGUUGACAAAUAUUUGGAUGCUGAAAGGUUUAAAUUCCUCCACUGGCUGAAGGGAGAAGUGAAUUUGAGCCAAAUCUGCAUGUUUGGCACAUUUACGUGAUGGCUCAUGUUCAUUUAUGUGCAUUGUUCCUUCUUAAAUAUAAUAAACAUUAUUUCAACAGCAA